This 323-nucleotide unclassified non-coding RNA is filed under the name fungal sp. Its description in RNAcentral is "partial internal transcribed spacer region". The stretch from base 1 to 46 matches the Rfam family "Eukaryotic small subunit ribosomal RNA", at positions 1786 to 1831 of the family's 1831-position model. Lineage: Eukaryota; Fungi. The record is from RNAcentral.
AUGUCGUAACAAGGUUUCCGUAGGUGAACCUGCGGAAGGAUCAUUAACACGUAUCCAAACGUUAAAACCCCCCCCCGUGAACCUUCAUCCUGCUCUUGUAACCCGCGUAGUUCGGCAAUGUUUCUCCAAGCAGUCAGUGUCGGAAAGUGUCAUUGAUUGUGCAGAAUAGCGCUUCUACGAUUCCUGUAGACCGUACACUCGGGCAGGAGCUUUUCCAAAGGGUCCCCAUACCCCCUAAUAACCCCACAGUUUAAUGUGAAGCUCAAUGUAAUACAUUGGGUAAAAAAACCGAACAACUGUUAACAAUGGAUAUCUUGGUUCUC